RNAcentral lists this ribosomal RNA (340 nucleotides) under uncultured fungus. RNAcentral describes it as "eukaryotic LSU rRNA". The stretch from base 1 to 70 matches the Rfam family "5.8S ribosomal RNA", at positions 85 to 154 of the family's 154-position model. The record is from RNAcentral. Lineage: Eukaryota; Fungi.
UGAAUCAUCGAAUCUUUGAACGCACCUUGCGCUCUCUGGUAUUCCGGGGAGCACACCUGUUCGAGUGUCAUUGGGAACUCUCAAACAAAAAAGAUAGCUUUGCAGCUGUCUCUGUUUGGAUUUGGGCUCUGCUGCAUUAAUGUGGCUAGUCUUAAAUCUAUUAGCUGGUCCUUAUUGAGGUUUGGUUCUACUCAGUGUGAUAAUUAUCUAACAUUGAGGACAGUCUUAGGACUGGCCAUAGCUCUCUCUGGAUUGCUUCUAAAUUGUCCUGAGGGGGACAAUCAUUCAAUUUCUGNCCUCGGAUCAGGUGGGACUACCCGCUGAACUUAAGCAUAUCAAU